Molecule: ribosomal RNA, 253 nt
Filed under: uncultured bacterium
Lineage: Bacteria
Description: partial 16S ribosomal RNA
Rfam family: Bacterial small subunit ribosomal RNA
Source: RNAcentral
UACGGAGGGCGCAAGCGUUGUUCGGAAUCACUGGGCGUAAAGCGCGUGUUGGCGGCUCUGCAAGUCGGGUGUGAAAUCCCUAGGCUCAACCUCGUAACUGCACUCGAUACUGCUUGGCUCGAGUCCCGGAGAGGGUGGCGGAAUUCGCGGUUUAGGGGUGAAAUCCGUAGAUAUCGGGAGGAACACCAGUGGCGAAGGCGGCCACCUGGACUGUGACUGACGCUGCGACGCUAAAGCGUCGGGAGCAAGGAGG